RNAcentral lists this ribosomal RNA (452 nucleotides) under uncultured bacterium. RNAcentral describes it as "partial 16S ribosomal RNA". It matches the Rfam family "Bacterial small subunit ribosomal RNA", at positions 29 to 523 of the family's 1533-position model. The record is from RNAcentral.
AACGAACGCUGGCGGCAGGCCUAACACAUGCAAGUCGAACGCGUGUAGCAAUACACGAGUGGCGCACGGGUGAGUAACGCGUGGGAAUGUACCGUUUAGUGGGGGAUAACUUCGGGAAACUGGAGCUAAUACCGCAUACGCCCUUCGGGGGAAAGAUUUAUCGCUAAACGAUCAGCCCGCGUGAGAUUAUGGUAGUUGGUGGGGUAAUGGCCUACCAAGCCGACGAUCUCUAGCUGAUCUGAGAGGAUGAUCAGCCACACUGGAACUGAGACACGGUCCAGACUCCUACGGGAGGCAGCAGUGGGGAAUAUUGGGCAAUGGGCGCAAGCCUGACCCAGCCAUGCCGCGUGAGUGAUGAAGGCCCUAGGGUUGUAAAGCUCUUUUAACGGUGAAGAUAAUGACGGUAACCGUAGAAUAAGCCCCGGCUAACUUCGUGCCAGCCGCCGCGGUAA